RNAcentral lists this ribosomal RNA (693 nucleotides) under uncultured bacterium. RNAcentral describes it as "bacterial SSU rRNA". It matches the Rfam family "Bacterial small subunit ribosomal RNA", at positions 1 to 695 of the family's 1533-position model. The record is from RNAcentral.
UAGAGUUUGAUCCUGGCUCAGGAUGAACGCUAGCGGAAGGCCUAAUACAUGCAAGUCGAGGGGUAACAGGGGAGCUUGCUCCCGCUGACGACCGGCGCACGGGUGAGUAACGCGUACGUAACCUACCUUCAAGAAAGGGAUAGCCCCGGGAAACUGGGAUUAAUACCUUAUAGUAUCAUAAAGCCGCAUGGUUUAAUGAUUAAAGCUCCGGCGCUUGAAGAUGGACGUGCGUUCUAUUAGAUAGUUGGUGAGGUAACGGCUCACCAAGUCAGCGAUAGAUAGGGGGCGUGAGAGCGUGGUCCCCCACACGGGUACUGAGACACGGACCCGACUCCUACGGGAGGCAGCAGUAAGGAAUAUUGGACAAUGGGCGCAAGCCUGAUCCAGCCAUUCCGCGUGUAGGAUGACGGCCCUCUGGGUUGUAAACUACUUUUAUUUGGGAAGAAACCCUGGGAUUUAUCCCGGGCUGACGGUACCAAAAGAAUAAGCACCGGCUAAUUCCGUGCCAGCAGCCGCGGUAAUACGGAAGGUGCAAGCGUUAUCCGGAAUCACUGGGUUUAAAGGGUGCGUAGGCGGUUGCGUAAGUCAGAAGUGAAAGCUCACAGCUUAACUGUGGAAUUGCUUUUGAUACUGCGCGACUAGAAUCAGGUUGAGGUUGGCGGAAUGUGACAUGUAGCGGUGAAAUGCAUAGAU